AACGUAGGACGCAAGCGUUAUCCGGAGUUACUGGGCGUAAAGCGCGUGCAGGUGGUUCAGAAAGUUACGUAUGAAAGCUCCCGGCUAAACUGGGAGAGGAUAGGUAAAACUGCUGAACUAGAAUCAGUUAGAGGAAUGUAGAAUUCCGGGUGUAGUGGUGAAAUGCGUAGAUAUCCGGAGGAAUACCAGAGGCGAAGGCGACAUUCUGGGACUGAAUUGACACUGAGACGCGAAAGCAUGGGUAGCGAACGGG
This 253-nucleotide ribosomal RNA is filed under the name uncultured bacterium. RNAcentral describes it as "partial 16S ribosomal RNA". It matches the Rfam family "Bacterial small subunit ribosomal RNA", at positions 524 to 776 of the family's 1533-position model. The record is from RNAcentral.